RNAcentral lists this ribosomal RNA (611 nucleotides) under Pontibacillus chungwhensis. RNAcentral describes it as "bacterial SSU rRNA". It matches the Rfam family "Bacterial small subunit ribosomal RNA", at positions 155 to 752 of the family's 1533-position model. RNAcentral also lists the same sequence under 1 other name. Lineage: Bacteria; Bacillati; Bacillota; Bacilli; Caryophanales; Bacillaceae. The record is from RNAcentral.
AACCGGAGCUAAUACCGAAUAACCCAGUGAACUGCAUGGUUCACUGGUAAAAGGCGGUUUCGGCCGUCACUCAUGGAUGGGCCCGCGGCGCAUUAGCUAGUUGGUAAGGUAACGGCUUACCAAGGCAACGAUGCGUAGCCGACCUGAGAGGGUGAUCGGCCACACUGGGACUGAGACACGGCCCAGACUCCUACGGGAGGCAGCAGUAGGGAAUCUUCCGCAAUGGACGAAAGUCUGACGGAGCAACGCCGCGUGAACGAUGAAGGUCUUCGGAUCGUAAAGUUCUGUUGUUAGGGAAGAACAAGUACCAGAGGAAAUGCUGGUACCUUGACGGUACCUAACCAGAAAGCCACGGCUAACUACGUGCCAGCAGCCGCGGUAAUACGUAGGUGGCAAGCGUUGUCCGGAAUUAUUGGGCGUAAAGCGCGCGCAGGCGGUUUCUUAAGUCUGAUGUGAAAGCCCACAGCUCAACUGUGGAGGGCCAUUGGAAACUGGGGAACUUGAGUACAGAAGAGGAGAGUGGAAUUCCACGUGUAGCGGUGAAAUGCGUAGAUAUGUGGAGGAACACCAGUGGCGAAGGCGACUCUCUGGUCUGUAACUGACGCUGAGGC